CCUACUGGUGGCUGCAGUGAGGAAUAUUGGUCAAUGGGCGCGAGCCUGAACCAGCCAAGUCGCGUGAGGGAAGACGGGCCUAUGGAUUGUAAACCUCUUUUGUCGGGGAGCAAAAGCCGCCACGCGUGGCUUUCCGAGAGUACCCGAAGAAACAGCAUCGGCUAACUCCGUGCCAGCAGCCGCGGUAAUACGGAGGAUGCGAGCGUUAUCCGGAUUUCUUGGGUUUAAAGGGUGCGCAGGCGGAAGAUCAAGUUAGCGGUAAAAUUGAGAGGCUCAACCUCUUCGAGCCGUUGCAACUGGUUUUCAUGAGUGAUUGAGAAGUAUGCGGAAUGAGUGGUGUAGCGGUGAAAUGCAUAGA
Molecule: ribosomal RNA, 358 nt
Filed under: uncultured bacterium
Lineage: Bacteria
Description: partial 16S ribosomal RNA
Rfam family: Bacterial small subunit ribosomal RNA
Source: RNAcentral